AUUGAACGCUGGCGGCAGGCCUAACACAUGCAAGUCGAGCGGAUGAAGGGAGCUUGCUCCUGGAUUCAGCGGCGGACGGGGAGUAAUGCCUAGGAAUCUGCCUGGUAGUGGGGGAUAACGUCCGGAAACGGGCGCUAAUACCGCAUACGUCCUGAGGGAGAAAGUGGGGGAUCUUCGGACCUCACGCUAUCAGAUGAGCCUAGGUCGGAUUAGCUAGUUGGUGGGGUAAAGGCCUACCAAGGCGACGAUCCGUAACUGGUCUGAGAGGAUGAUCAGUCACACUGGAACUGAGACACGGUCCAGACUCCUACGGGAGGCAGCAGUGGGGAAUAUUGGACAAUGGGCGAAAGCCUGAUCCAGCCAUGCCGCGUGUGUGAAGAAGGUCUUCGGAUUGUAAAGCACUUUAAGUUGGGAGGAAGGGCAGUAAGUUAAUACCUUGCUGUUUUGACGUUACCAACAGAAUAAGCACCGGCUAACUUCGUG
RNAcentral lists this ribosomal RNA (483 nucleotides) under uncultured bacterium. RNAcentral describes it as "partial 16S ribosomal RNA". It matches the Rfam family "Bacterial small subunit ribosomal RNA", at positions 30 to 507 of the family's 1533-position model. The record is from RNAcentral.